RNAcentral lists this ribosomal RNA (403 nucleotides) under Fusobacteriota bacterium. RNAcentral describes it as "Fusobacteria bacterium partial 16S ribosomal RNA". It matches the Rfam family "Bacterial small subunit ribosomal RNA", at positions 355 to 776 of the family's 1533-position model. Lineage: Bacteria; Fusobacteriati; Fusobacteriota. The record is from RNAcentral.
UGGGGAAUAUUGCACAAUGGCGGGAACUCUGAUGCAGCGACGCCGUGUGAACGAAGAAGGCUUUCGAGUCGUACAGUUCUUUUAUAUGGGAAGAUAAUGACGGUACCAUAAGAAAAAGCCCCGGCUAACUACGUGCCAGCAGCCGCGGUAAUACGGAGGGGGCUAGCGUUGUCCGGAAUCACUGGGCGUAAAGGGUUCGCAGGCGGAAAUGCAAGUCAGGUGUAAAAGGCAGUAGCUUAACUACUGUAAGCAUUUGAAACUGCAUAUCUUGAGAAGAGUAGAGGUAAGUGGAAUUUUUAGUGUAGCGGUGAAAUGCGUAGAUAAUAAAAAGAAUACCGGUGGCGAAGGCGACUUACUGGGCUCAUUCUGUCGCUGAGGAACGAAAGCGUGGGUAUCAAACAGG